AGGAAGGUGGGGAUGACGUCAAAUCAUCAUGCCCCUUAUGACCUGGGCUACACACGUGCUACAAUGGGCGGUACAAAGGGUCGCGAACCCGCAGGGGGAGCCAAUCCCAAAAAAGCCCGCUCUCAGUUCGGAUUGCAGGCUGCAACUCGCCUGCAUGAAGCCGGAAUCGCUAGUAAUCGCGGAUCAGCAUGCCGCGGUGAAUACGUUCCCGGGCCUU
RNAcentral lists this ribosomal RNA (217 nucleotides) under uncultured Anoxybacillus sp. RNAcentral's name for it is "partial 16S ribosomal RNA". It matches the Rfam family "Bacterial small subunit ribosomal RNA", at positions 1167 to 1382 of the family's 1533-position model. Lineage: Bacteria; Bacillati; Bacillota; Bacilli; Caryophanales; Anoxybacillaceae. The record is from RNAcentral.